GUACACUCCUGCGGGAGGCAGCAGUGGGGAAUAUUGCACAAUGGGCGCAAGCCUGAUGCAGCCAUGCCGCGUGUAUGAAGAAGGCCUUCGGGUUGUAAAGUACUUUCAGCGGGGAGGAAGGCGAUAAGGUUAAUAACCUUGUCGAUUGACGUUACCCGCAGAAGAAGCACCGGCUAACUCCGUGCCAGCAGCCGCGGUAAUACGGAGGGUGCAAGCGUUAAUCGGAAUUACUGGGCGUAAAGCGCACGCAGGCGGUCUGUCAAAUCGGAUGUGAAAUCCCCGGGCUCAACCUGGGAACUGCAUUCGAAACUGGCAGGCUAGAGUCUUGUAGAGGGGGGUAGAAUUCCAGGUGUAGCGGUGAAAUGCGUAGAGAUCUGGAGGAAUACCGGUAGCGAAGGCGGCCCCCUGGACAAAGACUGACGCUCAGGUGCGAAAGCGUGGGGAGCAAACAGGAUUAGAUACCCGUGUAGUCCCAUG
This 477-nucleotide ribosomal RNA is filed under the name uncultured organism. RNAcentral describes it as "partial 16S ribosomal RNA". It matches the Rfam family "Bacterial small subunit ribosomal RNA", at positions 331 to 799 of the family's 1533-position model. The record is from RNAcentral.